This is a non-coding RNA of 187 nucleotides. It matches the Rfam family "6S / SsrS RNA". Rfam says of the family: E. coli 6S RNA was the first non coding RNA to be sequenced, but its function was unknown until recently. The record is from Rfam.
CAUAUCCUGAUGUGUUCGUUCAUGAAAAGUGUUUUGACCGAACAACUAUAAACAUGGGAGCUCGCAAAUAGUUUCUAUAUUGCGUGCGUGCCUCCAAUGAGAGGAAGCAUAACAAAUAUAGAACAGAGCACCCACCUGCCAAGAGCGGGAUCAAAGCUUCAAACUGGACGGCACAAUCGGGAUUGUG